This 69-nucleotide transfer RNA is filed under the name Marmota marmota marmota (Alpine marmot). It matches the Rfam family "tRNA". From Rfam's summary of the family: Transfer RNA (tRNA) molecules are approximately 80 nucleotides in length. Their secondary structure includes four short double-helical elements and three loops (D, anti-codon, and T loops). Lineage: Eukaryota; Metazoa; Chordata; Mammalia; Rodentia; Sciuridae. RNAcentral also lists the same sequence under 1 other name. The record is from Rfam by way of RNAcentral.
GUGGUUGUGGCUCAGAGGUAGAGCACUUACCUACUGUGUAAGGGACUAGGUUCGAUCCUCAGCACCACA